CAGAGAUGGUUUGGUGCCUUCGGGAACUCUGAGACAGGUGCUGCAUGGCUGUCGUCAGCUCGUGUUGUGAAAUGUUGGGUUAAGUCCCGCAACGAGCGCAACCCUUAUCCUUUGUUGCCAGCGGUCCGGCCGGGAACUCAAAGGAGACUGCCAGUGAUAAACUGGAGGAAGGUGGGGAUGACGUCAAGUCAUCAUGGCCCUUACGAGUAGGGCUACACACGUGCUACAAUGGCGCAUACAAAGAGAAGCGACCUCGCGAGAGCAAGCGGACCUCAUAAAGUGCGUCGUAGUCCGGAUUGGAGUCUGCAACUCGACUCCAUGAAGUCGGAAUCGCUAGUAAUCGUAGAUCAGAAUGCUACGGUGAAUACGUUCCCGGGCCUUGUACACACCGCCCGUCACACCAUGGGAGUGGGUUGCAAAAGAAGUAGGUAGCUUAACCUUCGGGAGGGCG
RNAcentral lists this ribosomal RNA (451 nucleotides) under Enterobacteriaceae bacterium CBU054E. Its description in RNAcentral is "bacterial SSU rRNA". It matches the Rfam family "Bacterial small subunit ribosomal RNA", at positions 1001 to 1452 of the family's 1533-position model. The record is from RNAcentral. Lineage: Bacteria; Pseudomonadati; Pseudomonadota; Gammaproteobacteria; Enterobacterales; Enterobacteriaceae.